RNAcentral lists this ribosomal RNA (301 nucleotides) under uncultured bacterium. Its description in RNAcentral is "partial 16S ribosomal RNA". It matches the Rfam family "Bacterial small subunit ribosomal RNA", at positions 509 to 807 of the family's 1533-position model. The record is from RNAcentral.
CAGUCGCCGCGGUAAAACGAAGGGUGCAAGCGUUAAUCGGAAUUACUGGGCGUAAAGCGUGCGUAGGCGGUUUGUUAAGUCUGUUGUGAAAGCCCUGGGCUCAACCUGGGAAUUGCAGUGGAUACUGGACCACUAGAGUGUGGUAGAGGAUAGUGGAAUUUCCGGUGUAGCGGUGAAAUGCGUAGAGAUCGGAAGGAACAUCUGUGGCGAAGGCGACUAUCUGGGCCAACACUGACACUGAGGCACGAAAGCGUGGGGAGCAAACAGGAUUAGAUACCCGUGUAGUCCCUGUCUCUUAUAC